This 211-nucleotide unclassified non-coding RNA is filed under the name Hevea brasiliensis (rubber tree). The record is from RNAcentral. Lineage: Eukaryota; Viridiplantae; Streptophyta; Magnoliopsida; Malpighiales; Euphorbiaceae.
CCUGUGUAUGGGAACGGGCACAUGCCUAUGCCUGUACCUGUGCCUGUUCAUGAUUACGGGUACGGGUACGGACAUGGGCAAGUCCCGGGUUAUCCAGUGCACAUGAAGUUCAAUGAUGAGAACCCAAAUGCCUGCUCUGUAAUGUGAAGAUGGAUGGGAAAAUAAGAGUGUAAAUAAUAAAAUAGAGAAUAAAGAGAGAGAGAGAGAGAGA